This 742-nucleotide small RNA is filed under the name Rattus norvegicus (Norway rat). Its description in RNAcentral is "uncharacterized LOC103691883". The record is from RNAcentral. Lineage: Eukaryota; Metazoa; Chordata; Mammalia; Rodentia; Muridae.
UUUCAUUUCCUUUUUCUUUCAUUUGACCCAGCUAUUCCUCAGACAAGUCACCUAAACUUAGCCUCUAACGCUCCUCUUUUUCUGCUACACACACACACACACACACACACACACACACACACACACACACACUUUUUUCUGCUUAUGUUUGUAGGUAUAUGUUCCUGUAUACAAUGCAUAUGUUUCCAACUGGCAUUUCAGUACUUUGUAAUAAUUAGCCAAUACAGGUGAGAUUCCAGAAUCAUACCUUCUGUCUUGUCUCCCUUAGCAACCACUGAGAGAUACAGCAAGAAAGAGAAGAUGGGGCUUAAAAUUCAUGGAACUCUGACCGUUGAUGGCAUGGUGGUGUGAUAAGUGUGGGCCCCAUAGGCUUGGAUGUUUAGUUACUAGAGAGUGAAACUCUUUGAUAGGAUUAAGUGUGGCCUUGUUGGAUGAAGUGUGUCACUUAGGCAAUGAAGGGACAGUGAUUAAGAGGGAUGAAGUCAGAACAGCUGUGAUCACCCUCAAGUGACACAAGUGCUCAUUGGGUCCCCAAGCCAACCUUGGGUGGAGUCACCUCCUGUAGAUCAAGCCCGAAGACCUCGGUUCGAUUCCCAGAUCCCGUGAUGAAAGGAGAGUACCAGCCCCUCAAAAUUGUUCUCUGGCUUUCACAUCCAUCCUGCAGUAGGUAUGCCCCCCAUACACUAAUAAUAAAUAUCUUUUAAAAUGUAAAAAAUAAAUUUAAAAAUGUAAAAAAGAUAAA